Molecule: ribosomal RNA, 856 nt
Filed under: Hypomyces aurantius
Lineage: Eukaryota; Fungi; Ascomycota; Sordariomycetes; Hypocreales; Hypocreaceae
Description: LSU rRNA
Rfam family: Eukaryotic large subunit ribosomal RNA
Source: RNAcentral
CUAGCAUAUCAAUAAGCGGAGGAAAAGAAACCCAACAGGGAUUGCCCCAGUAACGGCGAGUGAAGCGGCAACAGCUCAAAUUUGAAAUCUGGCCCCUAGGGCCCGAGUUGUAAUUUGCAGAGGAUGCUUUUGGCAAGGCGCCGCCCGAGUUCCCUGGAACGGGACGCCGCAGAGGGUGAGAGCCCCGUCUGGCUGGACGCCGAGCCUUUGUAAAGCUCCUUCGACGAGUCGAGUAGUUUGGGAAUGCUGCUCUAAAUGGGAGGUAUAUGUCUUCUAAAGCUAAAUAUUGGCCAGAGACCGAUAGCGCACAAGUAGAGUGAUCGAAAGAUGAAAAGCACUUUGAAAAGAGGGUUAAACAGUACGUGAAAUUGUUGAAAGGGAAGCGCUCAUGACCAGACUUGGGCUUGGCGGAUCAUCCGGCGUUCUCGCCGGUGCACUUCGCCUCGCCCAGGCCAGCAUCAGUUCGCCCCGGGGGACAAAAGCUUCGGGAAUGUGGCUCCUCCGGGAGUGUUAUAGCCCGUUGCACAAUACCCUGGGGCGGACUGAGGUUCGCGCGUCCGCAAGGAUGCUGGCGUAAUGGUCAUCAGCGACCCGUCUUGAAACACGGACCAAGGAGUCGUCCUCGUAUGCGAGUGUUCGGGUGUCAAACCCCUACGCGUAAUGAAAGUGAACGCAGGUGAGAGCUUCGGCGCAUCAUCGACCGAUCCUGAUGUUCUCGGAUGGAUUUGAGUAAGAGCAUACGGGGCCGGACCCGAAAGAAGGUGAACUAUGCCUGUAUAGGGUGAAGCCAGAGGAAACUCUGGUGGAGGCUCGCAGCGGUUCUGACGUGCAAAUCGAUCGUCAAAUAUGGGCAUGG